Etheostoma spectabile (orangethroat darter) is the source of this 208-nucleotide long non-coding RNA. RefSeq lists it as uncharacterized. The record is from RefSeq and is a predicted model, not a curated record. Lineage: Eukaryota; Metazoa; Chordata; Actinopteri; Perciformes; Percidae. The transcript is spliced from 2 exons.
GAGCAGGGCUGUCAAACUCAGUUUUACUAAGGGCCACGCUGGAUAAUAAGAAUCACAUCAAGGGCCUGUUUGUUGACAUGCUUUAUUUAACCGAAAAUAUCAAACGUCUUUGACUGUUAUUGCAUGUCUGAUAUAGUCUUCUCACUGACAGUUUGGUCGACAUAAAGCCCCAAAAAAGUAACUUAGCCGUCAAUGAAGAAAGAGACAC